UCAGGAGAGAGAAGGCAGCUAAUUCUUACUCUUCUCCACAGUCAUGUGGCACUUUGUUUACCCUCAACUAUUAGGACAAGCAUCAAAAGCAAAGGCCGCACCUGUCGCUGGGGCCCGGCUCAUUUAUGCAGUCGCCUGGAGCGCCAGGUUCAUGCCGUGGACUGUCCCAGGCAGCAAAGACACCAACGGCUCCACUCGGCGUCUCCGAGAUGGUAAACUGAGAGGUGUAAGCCUGCCCGACGUGGCCGCUGUCAAUAGCCAGUGAAUGGAGGGCCGCAGACCAGAACUGAGAGGUGCCUAUGUUUCUAGAUUCUUCCAAAACUGC
Molecule: long non-coding RNA, 325 nt
Organism: Prionailurus viverrinus (fishing cat)
Lineage: Eukaryota; Metazoa; Chordata; Mammalia; Carnivora; Felidae
Exons: 3
Source: RefSeq, a predicted model, not a curated record